Molecule: ribosomal RNA, 935 nt
Filed under: Staphylococcus aureus VET1026S
Lineage: Bacteria; Bacillati; Bacillota; Bacilli; Caryophanales; Staphylococcaceae
Description: bacterial SSU rRNA
Rfam family: Bacterial small subunit ribosomal RNA
Source: RNAcentral
AGAGUUUGAUCCUGGCUCAGGAUGAACGCUGGCGGCGUGCCUAAUACAUGCAAGUCGAGCGAACGGACGAGAAGCUUGCUUUUCUGAUGUUAGCGGCGGACGGGUGAGUAACACGUGGAUAACCUACCUAUAAGACUGGGAUAACUUCGGGAAACCGGAGCUAAUACCGGAUAAUAUUUUGAACCGCAUGGUUCAAAAGUGAAAGACGGUCUUGCUGUCACUUAUAGAUGGAUCCGCGCUGCAUUAGCUAGUUGGUAAGGUAACGGCUUACCAAGGCAACGAUGCAUAGCCGACCUGAGAGGGUGAUCGGCCACACUGGAACUGAGACACGGUCCAGACUCCUACGGGAGGCAGCAGUAGGGAAUCUUCCGCAAUGGGCGAAAGCCUGACGGAGCAACGCCGCGUGAGUGAUGAAGGUCUUCGGAUCGUAAAACUCUGUUAUUAGGGAAGAACAUAUGUGUAAGUAACUGUGCACAUCUUGACGGUACCUAAUCAGAAAGCCACGGCUAACUACGUGCCAGCAGCCGCGGUAAUACGUAGGUGGCAAGCGUUAUCCGGAAUUAUUGGGCGUAAAGCGCGCGUAGGCGGUUUUUUAAGUCUGAUGUGAAAGCCCACGGCUCAACCGUGGAGGGUCAUUGGAAACUGGAAAACUUGAGUGCAGAAGAGGAAAGUGGAAUUCCAUGUGUAGCGGUGAAAUGCGCAGAGAUAUGGAGGAACACCAGUGGCGAAGGCGACUUUCUGGUCUGUAACUGACGCUGAUGUGCGAAAGCGUGGGGAUCAAACAGGAUUAGAUACCCUGGUAGUCCACGCCGUAAACGAUGAGUGCUAAGUGUUAGGGGGUUCCGCCCCUUAGUGCUGCAGCUAACGCAUUAAGCACUCCGCCUGGGGAGUACGACCGCAAGGUUGAAACUCAAAGGAAUUGACGGGGACCCGCA